GGAAUGAUGGUGACCUAAACCCUCACCAGAGUAACAAUUGGAGGGCAAGUCUGGUGCCAGCAGCCGCGGUAAUUCCAGCUCCAAUAGCGUAUAUUAAACUUGUUGCAGUUAAAAAGCUCGUAGUUGAAUUUUUGCGUGGUGUUAAUAUUGACUGAUGUCGAGAUUGCACUUCGCUUUUGGGAUUUUUCCCUUUUUACUUUGAGAAAAUUAGAGUGUUUCAAGCAGACUUUUGUCUUGAAUACUUCAGCAUGGAAUAAUAGAGUAGGACUUUGGUUCUAUUUUGUUGGUUUGUGAACCUUAGUAAUGGUUAAUAGGAACGGUUGGGGGCAUUCGUAUUUAACUGUCAGAGGUGAAAUUCUUAGAUUUGUUAAAGACGAACUACUGCGAAAGCAUUUGCCAAGGACGUUUUCAUUAAUCAAGAACGAAAGUUAGGGGAUCGAAGACGAUCAGAUACCGUCGUAGUCCUA
RNAcentral lists this ribosomal RNA (467 nucleotides) under Babesia capreoli. RNAcentral's name for it is "SSU rRNA". It matches the Rfam family "Eukaryotic small subunit ribosomal RNA", at positions 511 to 1028 of the family's 1831-position model. Lineage: Eukaryota; Apicomplexa; Aconoidasida; Piroplasmida; Babesiidae. The record is from RNAcentral.